GGGUAGAAAGUGCCUUUUACAACAUGCUGCCUCUAUGAGAUCCACUUAUGUUUGUAAAUGCAUUUUCUGGCCCGUAACC
This 79-nucleotide microRNA precursor is filed under the name Echinococcus granulosus. RNAcentral's name for it is "microRNA egr-mir-277a precursor". Its record names the gene egr-mir-277a. RNAcentral also lists the same sequence under 1 other name. Lineage: Eukaryota; Metazoa; Platyhelminthes; Cestoda; Cyclophyllidea; Taeniidae. The record is from miRBase by way of RNAcentral.